GCCGGGGAUGGUGGUGCACACCUGUAAUCCCAGCAACUCAGGAGGCUGAGGCAGGAGGAUCACAAGUUUGAGGCUGGCCUCAGCAAUUUAGUGAGGCCCUAUGCAAUUUAGUGAGACCCUGUUUCAA
RNAcentral lists this small RNA (127 nucleotides) under Marmota monax (woodchuck). The record is from RNAcentral. Lineage: Eukaryota; Metazoa; Chordata; Mammalia; Rodentia; Sciuridae.